AUCUCGAUAAAAUUUAUAUGUAACCACAUGAUGAACAUCAGCUUUUCAUUAGAUUAAAAAUUAUCAAAAUCGACACACCCAGUAAAAAGUUAUUGCGGAUUUUCGAGAGUUUCCCUCGAUUUCUCUGGGAUCCCAUCAUCAGAUCCUGGUUUCCUUAUCAUGGUACUAAACUAGAGAUAUCCCCUUUCUAACAAAAAAAAGAAUUAUCCAAAUCGGUAUAUCCAGUAGAAAGUUAUGCGGUAUAAUACAAUGUAGAUCGACAAUAAUUGUGUUUGCUCGCAAACGAAAAAAAAACCGACUUCAAUUACAUCGACGAGUAAUACAACGUAUAUCGACG
RNAcentral lists this unclassified non-coding RNA (337 nucleotides) under Melitaea cinxia (Glanville fritillary). Its description in RNAcentral is "misc RNA ENSMCXG00005021631.1". The record is from RNAcentral. Lineage: Eukaryota; Metazoa; Arthropoda; Insecta; Lepidoptera; Nymphalidae.